AGAACAGACCCCUGAUUGGUCCAGAAACAGGAGAAGCUGCCUGGAGAGGAUGGAGCAGAUCUACAGAUCUGCCCUGCAAUUUGACUACAGACGACAUCAAAUUAACCCCUGUCUCCUUGAACUUCAGAUUUUGUUACUGGCAACUAGACUUUGUACUCAAGCAUCAACUCAGAAAGGCAACAUCUGAGUUUCCUUUUGGUUUAUAUUAAAUUACUUCCAGUUUUAUGGCA
This is a long non-coding RNA of Peromyscus leucopus (white-footed mouse), 230 nucleotides long. RefSeq lists it as uncharacterized. The record is from RefSeq and is a predicted model, not a curated record. NCBI's taxonomy places the organism in Eukaryota, Metazoa, Chordata, Mammalia, Rodentia, Cricetidae. The transcript has 2 exons.